CUAUACAGAGUAACACUUUUGGGCUUUGGGUAAUCUCUCAAUGGUUUCUAAAUGGUAAUCUUGCCUGACCAUUGGUUUUUUGAGUUCUUUCAAAGAGUAUUCUUCUUGGCUUGCAGGUUGCCGCUGGAGCCGGACAAGAUAAGGCUUGCCUUACCUGGUGACGUACUGGCUAGGAGAGUGCAAGCUUCCGCCCACACGUACCAGAUGGUCCCAUCAAGGACGUUGUCGUACCGACUGCCGAUGAUCUACAGGUCAGUUUUUCCUUAGCUUCUGUUAUUAGUCUUUUUUUUCCUAUGAAUCGUUCGACUCGUGGUUGCUUCUACAAAAUAGCUCAUCUUUUAGCUUGAAAUGUUACCAUGAAACUUAUCCCCUUUAUUCACUUAAACAAUUUAUGAUGGUGGUUUGGGUACCAAGCUCAGUUGUUUUUUUAUAAAAUGAUUACAUGGUCCAAUAUUUCAGUUAUGUUACAUAUAUUCGUUUUUUAUGUUUUUCUGAACCUUAUACUUCCCUGUAUUUAUUUUUGUUUGGCUAUGAACAACCCAAGAGAUGAAGAUGUUGAAUUUGCUUCAAACUACUACUGUAAAUUUAGAAGCUUCCUAGAUUGCAUCCUAGCUUAGUUGAUCCAGGGCUUAAGCUAUAUACCAAAAUAACACUGAGAUGAGUUCUGUCAGAAGUACGUUGAGCCUUUUUAUUUUUAUUCUGUUUUGCGCACUCAUUUAAUGCCACUUGGAAUCUGAAGUAGAAAAUAUCAUAAAGAGCUUGAUGACUUAUAACAUUACCUGUCACAGUAUAUUAAAGGGUUUUUAGGUGACCAAUUAGGAAAUAAUUAAUUUUGAGUGCUUAAAUAUUGUUACAGUGCGUCAUAUAAGUUACCAAAAAAUUGUAAUUGGGAUAUCAAGGCUUAAAUGGACAAGUCCCAUAAAUAAUAAACUUACCCCUCAUAUACUGGUUGUUGGUAAACCAACCACUAAGAUUUUGAUUCAGUGUUUGCCUAAAGAAAUUACUCCCCCAUUUUGAUUUCAUCAAUUUUUUGAACAGCUCAGGCCAUUUUUGUCGUUGUAUGACAAGGCUGCCGAUGUCAUCACUGAGCCGCCUUCUUUGCUUCAGAGGCUUAUUGUUCUGCUAUAGAUCUCUGUCUCUUAUCCACUCACCCAUUGUACUGCAGGUUUGUGUUCUUGGGUUUUUAUAUCUCGCUUCUUCUUUUUAGUGAGCGGGUGAGCUAAUCUGGUUAUUAUCCUAUUGGCCUGUUGCAGCAAUUGCAACCUCCACAUUUCCAUGGCUGCUCAUCCUCCGUAACUUUCUCUAGCUGAGCUCACGCCACCACUGCGGCACACCUCUCUUAUAGCUAUCGGGUGACCGCGUGUGCCGUUGCCACCACUAGCGAGAUCUGGGAGAAAGAGGAGGCAAAGAGGGAGAUGGAGCAGCAAGAAUAAAGGUAAAGGAAGGAGGAAGAGGAGACACCCUAAGCAUGCCGGUGACCUCCAGGCCCGCUACUACGACUUCUCCAAGCAACACCAAUCUACAGCAGCAAGGUUCACAUUUAAGAAAUUAAUAAUAAUAACGUGAUUAGGAUUUUUUGUGCCAUUACAUAAAUCCCCAAAACCAACUUUUCUCUCUUUAUUUUGGGUAACAAGAUACCCUGUUGUGUUUGGAAGAUGCUUAUUGCUUUGUCUUAGCUUUAGCGUUUGGCAUGAUCGAUGUUGAUGAUGUUUAGUAAUAGACUGGUUGAGAUUUUGUUAUGGUGCUUUGGAUGAUUCCAGCUACCAGCUAAUUAGAUAAUAUUUAUUGUUGGUUUCUUAUUCUAUAAAAGUGACUUAUGCUCUUAAGAUAACCACAAUCCCAUUGUUUGUCAUAUCAUAAUACAACAAACUGCCAUUUUUUUUGCCAUAUUACUAUGCUACUCAAAGAUCAUUGGUAUUUUAUCGUUCUUAUUACUCCGUCAUAGGCUUACAUAUGUUAUUUUCAGUCGUACACCACAUCGAACAUCCAAGUAUUGUGUGGCAGACCCUGUCCUCCUAUGCUCAACCUGAUAUGCUCUUUUAUAGUGUUGAUUGUGUGUGUUAGGAAUAUGCUCUUUUGUUUUGCAAGAAGAAACUUGAUCGAAGCUUUGUGUGAUCAAGUUUAUGUGUUGCUUGCUAUGCAGUGUCUCGAGCAAGAUGACCAAGUGUUGGUGGGUGGGCAUCAACAAGGUGGGUUGUCAGCACGGUGUUCGAGUUGGUCAGUAGUGGUGCACCUGCGCCAUGUAUGGAUCAAUACUCUAGGAGGUUCUGUCGAGGCCCAAUCCAUCCAGGUAGUUUGUUAUACUACUGAUAUGAAUACACAUUAUUUAUCAAGAAUAUUUGUAUACCAUAUUAUCAAGGAAAAUAAUCUGUGUAUGCACUUCUUAUGUUCAUGUGCAGUUCAGAGCCAUUGUCAAAUUGAAUAACAACUGCCUUUUGGUCUCGGCCCAUAACCAGCCGUGAAAGACGAGAUGUUUAUGCUGCCCUUCUACCUUCCUCCCUGUCCCUACUUUUCCCCAUCGCGUGUUGGGCCCUCUGAAGUAAAA
This 2545-nucleotide long non-coding RNA is filed under the name Triticum aestivum (bread wheat). RNAcentral's name for it is "long non-coding RNA (TAES_LNC026708)". Lineage: Eukaryota; Viridiplantae; Streptophyta; Magnoliopsida; Poales; Poaceae. The record is from RNAcentral.